Molecule: long non-coding RNA, 227 nt
Filed under: Medicago truncatula (barrel medic)
Lineage: Eukaryota; Viridiplantae; Streptophyta; Magnoliopsida; Fabales; Fabaceae
Description: long non-coding RNA (MTRU_LNC005441)
Source: RNAcentral
GGGUUAGAUGUGUCUGUUUGGGUCUGCCCCAAUGAAGUUAGAAAAUUGCUCUUUUGUCAUCAGGAUUUGGUCUUGGAUACUCUAAAUUGACGAAAAUACCUUCAAUGACAGUUAACGCCCACGAUCGUUAACUGUCGUUGACACCUACGGUAGUUAACUAUCAUUUCCAGAGGAAAAAAAAAAAAUACAUUUCAAGCAAGAACACAGACAAACGUGUAUUCAAAGAC